CGGCCCCUACGGGGCGCAGCAGUAGGGAAUCUUCCACAAUGGACGAAAGUCUGAUGGAGCAACGCCGCGUGAGUGAAGAAGGGUUUCGGCUCGUAAAGCUCUGUUGGUAGUGAAGAAAGAUAGAGGUAGAAACUGGCCUUUAUUUGACGGGAAUUACUUAGAAAGUCACGGCUAACUACGUGCCAGCAGCCGCGGUAAUACGUAGGUGGCAAGCGUUGUCCGGAUUUAUUGGGCGUAAAGCG
This 242-nucleotide ribosomal RNA is filed under the name uncultured bacterium. RNAcentral's name for it is "partial 16S ribosomal RNA". It matches the Rfam family "Bacterial small subunit ribosomal RNA", at positions 333 to 567 of the family's 1533-position model. The record is from RNAcentral.